GUCUACGGCCAUACCACCCUGAACGCGC
This 28-nucleotide non-coding RNA is filed under the name Drosophila erecta. The record is from RNAcentral. RNAcentral also lists the same sequence under 6 other names. Lineage: Eukaryota; Metazoa; Arthropoda; Insecta; Diptera; Drosophilidae.